Cololabis saira (Pacific saury) is the source of this 609-nucleotide long non-coding RNA. RefSeq lists it as uncharacterized. Lineage: Eukaryota; Metazoa; Chordata; Actinopteri; Beloniformes; Belonidae. The transcript has 5 exons. The record is from RefSeq and is a predicted model, not a curated record.
AACCACUGAUCCUCCAACCACUGAUCCUCCAACCACUGAUCCUCCAACCACUGAUCCUCCAACCACUGAUCCUCCAACCACAACUCCUCCGCCCACAUCUCCUCCAUGUAUUAAUGGAAAGCCAAACGCGAACAACAUCUGCAUCUGCGACGACUUCUGGACCGGAGAAACGUGUUCAAUCGAAAACGCCUGCAAUGAAACAACCAUCGGGUCCUUCAGAUUCCCUCGCACGCCCGUCGGCUGGUUCGCCUACUCCACGCAAACGUGUGAAGAAGGAACGUCUAACGCUCGGAAACCACGCGCUUCGGCCAGAUGUUCCUUAAGAAAUGGGCGGCCGAGUUUCGGUUCUCCGCAGGUUCUUCAGUGCGACCAGACUCUUCAAGACAUACAAAACAACCUCACCAGUGCAGCAGAUCUGGACUUGUUAGCGUCCAGCGCUCAGAUUCUAACGUCCCAACCGGAUAAACUGAAGGAAGAAGACAUAGAAACGGCCGCCCAGAUCGCCAACACCCUGCUGCUGUCGCCCAACGCAACAGAGACCGUCAGGGUGGCAGCCGUCGCCACCAUCAGCCAGCUGCUGGAGACUAAACCGCCUGAGGAACCGCAGGA